Molecule: long non-coding RNA, 183 nt
Organism: Chelonia mydas (Green sea turtle)
Lineage: Eukaryota; Metazoa; Chordata; Testudines; Cheloniidae
Exons: 3
Source: RefSeq, a predicted model, not a curated record
GCUUUUGAGAGGGAAGGACCUGGCUGUCUGGGAACUGAGCAGGGACCUGAGGACUUCAGCUGCUUCAACUCCUGGAGGGAAACCAUGGCUGCUUUCGUACUAAAGAAACAGCCAGUUAACUUCAAAGGAUAUUGAAAGCUAAAGGAAGAGCCAGAAUCAGCUACUUCUCUUGCAUUUGCCACU